This 330-nucleotide long non-coding RNA is filed under the name Homo sapiens (human). Its description in RNAcentral is "HSALNT0401516". The record is from RNAcentral. Lineage: Eukaryota; Metazoa; Chordata; Mammalia; Primates; Hominidae.
AAAAAUAAUAAUAAUAAUAACGGAAAUAAUUAGUAGAAAAUGUUAUGGUAUGUUUUAUCAGAAUUCUGUAUCCUUUAGUUAUUUAUAUCCAUGAUGGAAAAUUUUAAAAACAGAGCCAAACAGGUUGAUUUUAAGAACUUAACUUUGGUCGGGCGUGGUGGCUCACACCUGUAAUCUCAGCACUUUGGGAGGCCGAGGCGGGCAGAUCACUUGAGGUCCGGAGUUCAAGACCAGCCUGGCCAACAUGGUAAACCCCCGUCUCUACUAAAAAUACAAAAAUUAGCCAGGCGUGGUGGCAUGCACCUGUAAUUCCAGCUACUUGGGUAGCUG